This 468-nucleotide ribosomal RNA is filed under the name uncultured bacterium. Its description in RNAcentral is "partial 16S ribosomal RNA". It matches the Rfam family "Bacterial small subunit ribosomal RNA", at positions 28 to 507 of the family's 1533-position model. The record is from RNAcentral.
GACGAACGCUGGCGGCGUGCUUAACACAUGCAAGUCGAACGGAAAGGCCCUGCUUUUGUGGGGUGCUCGAUUGGCGAACGGGUGAGUAACACGUGAGUAACCUGCCCUUGACUUUGGGAUAACUUCAGGAAACUGGGGCUAAUACCGGAUAGGAGCUCCUGCUGCAUGGUGGGGGUUGGAAAGUUUCGGCGGUUGGGGAUGGACUCGCGGCUUAUCAGCUUGUUGGUGGGGUAGUGGCUUACCAAGGCUUUGACGGGUAGCCGGCCUGAGAGCGUUACCGGCCACCAUGGGACUGCGAGACGGACCAGACUCCUACGGGAGGCAGCAGUGGGGAAUAUUGCACAAUGGGCGGAAGCGUGAUGCAGCAACGCCGCGUGCGGGAUGACGGCCUUCGGGUUGUAAACCGCUUUCGACUGUGACGAAGCGUGAGUGACGGUAAUGGGUAAAGAAGCACCGGCUAACUACGUG